RNAcentral lists this long non-coding RNA (2262 nucleotides) under Homo sapiens (human). RNAcentral describes it as "HSALNT0347817". Lineage: Eukaryota; Metazoa; Chordata; Mammalia; Primates; Hominidae. The record is from RNAcentral.
CUGGGGCAGGCAUUGAGUAAACAAGGACACAGUUACUGCUUCAGUGAAGCUGAUAGUCUAUUGGGGAGGACAGACAUUUGAAAGAUACCACAAGGUGAUUAAUUAUAAUCAUAAUAUAUACCAUGAAGGAAAAUUAGAGUUUUGUGAGAACAUGUAACUGGGGAACAUAAUGUGGCUGAAGUGGUCCUGCAGAUCAGCAAAGGCUUUCCUGAGAAAGAAACACUUAAGCUGGAACCUGAAGAAGUAGCCAGGCAAAGAGGAUGGCCAGGAGAAUUCCAGGGAGGCCCUUGAGAUGGGCAGAAGCCUUGUGCACUGGAGUACUCUGGCUCAGAACUCAAAGGUUAAAAUUCAAACAUAUUCUUAAUAAAGAAAAAGCAAGCAUGACGACCAGCAAGUGGUAUUUAAAAGAAUAUAAACUUGUCAGUGUUCUAGUGACAAACAUCAAAAGGCGAUCAGGAAAGUAUCCAAAACAAAACAAAACAAAAACCAGCCGGGGGGCGGUGGCUCACACCUGUAAUCCCAGCACUUUGGGAGGCCAAGGCAGGCAGGUCACCUGAGGUCAGGAGUUCAAGACCAGCCUGGGCAACAUGGUGAAACCCCAUCUCUAUAAAAAGAUACAAAAAUUAGCUGAGCAUGGUGGUGCAAGCCUGUAGUCCCAGCUACUCGGGAGGCUGAGGCAGGAGAGUCGCUUGAACCUGGGAGGCGGAGGUUGCAGUGAGCAAAGAUUGUGCCACUGCACUUCCAGCCUGGGUAACAGAGAGAGACUCCUUCUAAAAAUGGAGCAGAAGGGAGGGGAGGGGAGGGGAGAGGAGAAGAGAGGCUUUUAAUACAAACUAUAUCUUUCAAGAUCAAUACAAGGAGGUCCCAUUAAAAUCCUCCCAAAUUUCCAGAUGAGAUUUUUAAUUUUUUCUAGGCAACUAGCUAAUCUUUCUGCUGCUUAAGGAACUGUGAAAUAUUCCUUAAUCUCAUUUUUAUUCAGGAAGGCAUUUACACUGCAAAGCCUCAAGUAGGGGAUAUUCUGAGGGUGAGACCAAAAGAUUUUAAAUUUGAGGAUGAUCCACUUCACAACUUGAUUUUCUCGAGGAUAUUGUGAUAUUGCGCUUGACAGUUGUUUGCACUAGAUUUUUAAAAACUUCAAUAUCAUGAUUUUAUUCAAGCUUAUACACAAAGGCUAUCGAACAUUUCCAACAAAAUUCACAAAAUUUCCCUGAACAAAGGUGCAAGUAGAUUAUGUUAUGUUAGAGGAUGAAGACAGGCACAGGGUAUGCAGUCCAGAGUCCAGAGGUGUAUACAAGUGUAUACAAGUGGCCAUUACACAUUUUUUUUUGUUUGGGCAUUUUGCAUUUUUAUUUUUAUAAAUGAGUUUUCAGAUGUCAAAAAUUUCAUUGAAAAUUUAGAUGCAUAAUUUUUAUUGAAAUAGAAUUUGGCCAUGUUGAUCUUAAAUUUCCCUGUGGACAGUACAGAAAUCUCACUAAGGCUGUGACACCCCCUCUUGAUGAAAUGUGUACAUCCUAGAAAGUGCCUUGGGGUCCCACCGUUAUCUUCUAUUCAUCGCCCUACUCGUGCUUAUCAGAUUUGCCCAGCUCCUGUAGGAAUGACAGAAACUCAUCAAGUACAUAGCAACCCUAACAGAACAAAGAACAGGACUCUGCAGAGCACCGUUUGAAAACCAGUGAUCUAAUUCCAUCCUCUGGUGAGAAAAUGAGAUCCGGCCGGGACCAGUGGCUCACGCCUGUAAUCCUAGCACCUUGGGAUACCGAGGCAGGUGGAUCACCUGAGGCCAGGAGUUCGAGUCCAGCCUGCCCAACAUGGCGAAACUCCGUCUCCGCUAAAAUAAAAAAUACAAAAAUUAGCCGAGUGUGGUGGCUGACGCAUGUAGUCCCGGUUACUCGGGAGGCUGAGGCAAGAGAAUCACUUGAACCCAGGAGGCAGAGGUUGCAGUGAGCCGAGAUCACGCCACUGCAUUCCAGCCUGGGUGAGAUUCUGUCUCAAAAAAAAAAAAAAAGAAAGAAAAAGAAAAAGAAAUGAGAUCCAGAGAAACGAAGUUACUUGUUCAAGGUCAUUAGGAUUGAAAAUGAAGAGUCCUUACUUCCUUUGUAGUAAUAUGUAUAACACUUAAUUAUCCCAGAUAUAUUUUCUGGCAAGGUUCAUGGAAAAUAUGGUAAAAUAUUAUUUCAGUACCAUACUUCAAUACAAAAAAUUAAUAAAGUUGGACUUACUUCACCUCCGCCUGAAUUUUGUUUUACUUUAGCUAUUAUCUUU